UACGGGGGGGGUAAGCGUUGUUCGGAAUUACUGGGCGUAAAGGGCUCGUAGGCGGCCAACUAAGUCAGACGUGAAAUCCCUCAGCUUAACUGGGGAACUGCGUCUGAUACUGGAUGGCUUGGAUUCGGGAGAGGAAUGCGGAAUUCCAGGUGUAGCGGUGAAAUUCGUAGAUAUUCGCAAGAACACCAGUGGCGAAGGCGGCUCACUGGCCCGAUACUGACGCUGAGGCACGAAAGCGUGGGGAGCAAACAGG
Molecule: ribosomal RNA, 253 nt
Filed under: uncultured bacterium
Lineage: Bacteria
Description: partial 16S ribosomal RNA
Rfam family: Bacterial small subunit ribosomal RNA
Source: RNAcentral